AGGAAAUUGCAUUAAGGGUUGAUCCUGGCGUAAGAUUUGAGCGCUGGCGGCAUCGCUUUACGACAUGCAAGUCGACGGUAACAGGAGCAUGCUCCGCUUGCAAUGGCGACGGGUGAGUAAUAUAUCGGACGUACCCAAGAGUGGGGGAUAACCGUAGCGGAAAGUUACGCUAUAUACCGCAUACGAUCUAUGGAUGAAAGCAGGGGACCUUCGGGCCGUGUGCUCCUGGAGCGGCCGAUAUCUGAUUAGCUAGUUGGUGAGGUAAAGGCUCACCAAGGCGACGAUCAGUACCUGGUCUGAGAGGACGACCAACCACACUGGAACUGAUGACACGGUCCAGACUCCUACGGGAGGCAGCUAGUGGGGAAUUUUGGACAAUGGGCGCGAGCCUGAUCCAGCAAUGCCGCGUGAGUGAAGAAGGCCUUCGGGUUGUAAAGCUCUUUUGUCAGGGAAGAAACGGGCUUGGAUAA
Molecule: ribosomal RNA, 470 nt
Filed under: uncultured bacterium
Lineage: Bacteria
Description: bacterial SSU rRNA
Rfam family: Bacterial small subunit ribosomal RNA
Source: RNAcentral